CUGCGGAAGGAUCAUUGUCGAGACCUGCAAAGCAGACCGCGAACACGUAACCAAACCCGCGGGGCACGGCGCGGGGGCGACCCCCCGCCGCGUCCCGUCUCCCGCCGGCGUGCUCCCCCGGGACGCGCCGCGCGGGCUAACGAACCCCGGCGCGGAACGCGCCAAGGAAAACCGAACCCAGCGCCCGCCCCCGGCGCCCCGUCCGCGGGGAGUGCCGGGGGGCCGGGCGUCUGUCAAAAUGUCAAAACGACUCUCGGCAACGGAUAUCUCGGCUCUCGCAUCGAUGAAGAACGUAGCGAAAUGCGAUACUUGGUGUGAAUUGCAGAAUCCCGUGAACCAUCGAGUCUUUGAACGCAAGUUGCGCCCGAAGCCAUUAGGCCGAGGGCACGUCUGCCUGGGCGUCACGCAUCGCGUCGCCCCCCACCCCCGCGCGCACCGCCGGGUCGUGGGGGGCGGACAAUGGCCCCCCGUGCGCCUCGGCGCGCGGCCGGCCCAAAUGCGAUCCCCGGGCGGCUGGCGUCGCGACAAGUGGUGGUUGAACAUCUCAAUCUCUCUCGUCGUCGUGCCGCCGUGCCGUCCCGUACGGGAAUCGAUAACGACCCAACGGUGAGCGGCGCGAGCCGCGUCU
RNAcentral lists this ribosomal RNA (628 nucleotides) under Ziziphora taurica. Its description in RNAcentral is "eukaryotic LSU rRNA". The stretch from base 249 to 404 matches the Rfam family "5.8S ribosomal RNA". Lineage: Eukaryota; Viridiplantae; Streptophyta; Magnoliopsida; Lamiales; Lamiaceae. The record is from RNAcentral.